This 423-nucleotide ribosomal RNA is filed under the name Triticum aestivum (bread wheat). RNAcentral describes it as "partial small subunit ribosomal RNA". Lineage: Eukaryota; Viridiplantae; Streptophyta; Magnoliopsida; Poales; Poaceae. The record is from RNAcentral.
AUGUCCAACGGCAAGCCGACAUAUAACAGUGACUCUUCUUACAUGUCGAGCAUACCGGUCUGUUGCUUUCUCAGGGCAAUGCAGCCGACAAGUAGUUUACUUCGCUGGACCGAUGAUCUCCAUAAGAUCUUCCUGGAAGCUGUAGAGUAUCAAGGAGGCCCCUAUGAGGUGAAGCCAACUGCGGUGAAGGAGAAAAUGGAAGCUAUGGGAGUCACAGGCCUCACAAUCUGGAACAUAAAAAGCCACCUCCAGAGAUACAGGGAGAAGUGCAAUUUAGGACCUGAACCUCCUCGGGAUGUCCGAGGCACUGCAUCACCAAGGAAGGCUGGAGAUAAUGUGUAUGGUUCUCUGAUGCAAUGGAAUUGUUGGAUCUGCAUGCCUUUGUGUUCUCUAUUUAUUUAUUUGUAUUUUAGAACUGACUGA